CCUACGGGUGGCAGCAGUAGGGAAUUGUUCGCAAUGGGCGAAAGCCUGACGACGCAACGCCGCGUGGAGGAUGAAGAAUUUCGGUUCGUAAACUCCUUUCGACCAAGAUAAACACCUGUCGACCUAAUACGUUGGCAGGCUGAUAGUAUUGAGAGAAGAAGCCCCGGCUAACUCCGUGCCAGCAGCCGCGGUAAUACGGGGGGGGCAAGCGUUGUUCGGAAUUACUGGGCGUAAAGGGUUCGUAGGUGGCCAACUAAGUCAGACGUGAAAUCCCUCAGCUCAACUGGGGAACUGCGUCUGAUACUGGUGUGGCUUGAGUGCAGGAGAGGAACGCGGAAUUCCAGGUGUAGCGGUGAAAUGCGUAGAUAUCUGGAGGAACACCGGUGGCGAAGGCGGCGUUCUGGACUGCAACUGACACUGAGGAACGAAAGCCAGGGGAGCAAACGGGAUUAGAUACCCGUGUAGUC
RNAcentral lists this ribosomal RNA (467 nucleotides) under uncultured bacterium. RNAcentral's name for it is "bacterial SSU rRNA". It matches the Rfam family "Bacterial small subunit ribosomal RNA", at positions 338 to 795 of the family's 1533-position model. The record is from RNAcentral.